CCUCGGGGUAGGUGGCGGUCGCGCCGUCCAGCACCGGCUUGGGCAGGGCGCCAAGGGGCGAGCCCAGGGUGAGCUCGGUGCCCUCCUCGGAGGC
This 94-nucleotide transfer RNA is filed under the name Microtetraspora sp. NBRC 16547. RNAcentral's name for it is "tRNA-Arg". Lineage: Bacteria; Bacillati; Actinomycetota; Actinomycetes; Streptosporangiales; Streptosporangiaceae. The record is from RNAcentral.